RNAcentral lists this ribosomal RNA (319 nucleotides) under Compsobuthus matthiesseni. RNAcentral's name for it is "partial 16S ribosomal RNA". The record is from RNAcentral. Lineage: Eukaryota; Metazoa; Arthropoda; Arachnida; Scorpiones; Buthidae.
CAACGGGGACAUGAUCUCGUUUGUCAAUUUGAACUUUCAAAAAGAAUUAAGCUGUGAACCCUAAAGUAACUUAUUCUUAUUUCAAAAAUUUUGGAUAUAAAAACCCAUAAGUCUUUAAAAUUAAAAGAAGCUUCAUUCCUCUACCGCCGCAGCAAAAUACUUCUUAAUUCUUCUAAAAAUUUAGAAAAUAUAAAGUUUUAUAGGGUCUUCUCGUCUGUAAGAAAAAUUUUAGUCUUUUUACUAAAAAGACAACUUCAUCUUCUCAUUUUAAAAAAUUUUUUUCCAAUACACUCUUUCAUUCCAGUCUUCAAUUAAAAGA